This 463-nucleotide ribosomal RNA is filed under the name uncultured bacterium. Its description in RNAcentral is "partial 16S ribosomal RNA". It matches the Rfam family "Bacterial small subunit ribosomal RNA", at positions 28 to 507 of the family's 1533-position model. The record is from RNAcentral.
GACGCACGCUGGCGGCGUGCUUAACACAAGCAAGUCGAACGGAAAGGCCUUUUCGGAGGCACUCGAGUGGCGAACGGGUGCGUAACACGUGGGUGAUCUGCCCUGCACUCUGGGAUAAGCCUGGGCAACUGGGUCUAAUACCGGAUAGGACCGCACUUCAGAGCGUGUGGUGUACAGCUUUUUCGGUGUAGGAUGAGCCCGCGGCCUAUCAGCUUGUUGGUGGGGUAAUGGCCUACCACGGCGGCGGCGGGUAGCCGGACUGAGAGGUUGGUCGGCCACAUUGGGACGGAGAUGCGGCCCAGACCCCGACGGGAGGCAGCAGUGGGGAAGAUUGCACAACGGGCGCCAGCCUGAUGCAGCGACGCCGCGUGGGGGAUGACGGCCUUCGGGUUGCAAGCGCCUUUCGCCAGGGACGAAGCGUUUUGUGACGGUACCUGGAGAAGAAGCACCGGCUAACUACGUG